This 119-nucleotide ribosomal RNA is filed under the name Pomacea canaliculata. The record is from RNAcentral. Lineage: Eukaryota; Metazoa; Mollusca; Gastropoda; Architaenioglossa; Ampullariidae.
GCCUACGGCCAUACCACGUUGAACACACCGGUUCUCGUCCGAUCACCGAAGUUAAGCGACGUCGAGCCCGGUUAGUACUUGGAUGGGUGACCGCCUGGGAACACCGGGUGCUGUAGGUA